RNAcentral lists this ribosomal RNA (393 nucleotides) under Ailurus fulgens (lesser panda). RNAcentral's name for it is "partial 12S ribosomal RNA". It matches the Rfam family "Bacterial small subunit ribosomal RNA", at positions 794 to 1382 of the family's 1533-position model. Lineage: Eukaryota; Metazoa; Chordata; Mammalia; Carnivora; Ailuridae. The record is from RNAcentral.
GCUUAGCCCUAAACAUAAAUAGUUUAGUAUAACAAAACUAUUCGCCAGAGAACUACUAGCAAUAGCCUAAAACUCAAAGGACUUGGCGGUGCUUUACACCCCUCUAGAGGAGCCUGUUCUAUAAUCGAUAAACCCCGAUAAACCUUACCACUUCUAGCUACUUCAGUCUAUAUACCGCCAUCUUCAGCAAACCCUCAAAAGGAAGCAAAGUAAGCAUAAUGAUUCCUGCAUAAAAAAGUUAGGUCAAGGUGUAACCCAUGAAGUGGAAAGAAAUGGGCUACAUUUUCUAAACAAGAACACUAUACGAAAAUUUUUAUACGAAAUUAAAACCUAAAGGUGGAUUUAGUAGUAAAUUAAGAAUAGAGAGCUUAGUUGAAUUGGGCUAUAAAGCAC